RNAcentral lists this ribosomal RNA (123 nucleotides) under Clostridioides difficile. Its description in RNAcentral is "partial 23S ribosomal RNA". It matches the Rfam family "Bacterial large subunit ribosomal RNA", at positions 2803 to 2925 of the family's 2925-position model. The record is from RNAcentral. Lineage: Bacteria; Bacillati; Bacillota; Clostridia; Peptostreptococcales; Peptostreptococcaceae.
GAUAAGAUUUCCCACCGCAAGGGUAAGACCCCAGAAAGACUAUCUGGUUGAUAGGUCGAAGGUGUAAGUGCAGCAAUGUAUUUAGCUUAUCGAUACUAAUAGGUCGAGGACUUGACCAAUAUU